GAAGAACUAGGUAGCAUGCGAGAGCUAUUCACCGAUUCCUUCAAGACCGUGUUACGAGCAAUCAAUAGUCAACAUGAUUUAAUAUCAAUGCUAAGGUGUCAUUUAUAAUAUAGUCAUUUUGGCCAAAAAUAAGUACACUAGUUAUGUUUAUAUUAGCAUUCACAAAGCUGCAUCCUUAAUCUAUUUACUUGCAGGGUAGUGGCAGUUUUAAAAAAAAUGCUGACCAUUACCAAGCAGGGAACACACAACAGUAUCAUGGUAGUAGUUCCAAACAAGAAUUGGGCAGCAGCACUAAAAUAAGUAUUUACAAUUCUAAUACAAAUUUGUGACAGACUUACAUAUGUUAUACAUAUUUACAAAUUGUCAACAACUUUUAGUACAUAUCAUCUACAUUAUAUUUCCAUAUAUUGUUGUAAGUACAGAACAUAUGCCUGAUAUUCUAAAAGAGAAGAAUGUUCCUAUAUCAUGUCCAAUAGGUGUUGCCUUAUCUUCCCAGUUUCAAGAGGCAUUCAUGAAAGAAACAACAUAGAAGGAGACUAUACAUUUACACUCUCCAAAUCAGGAUGCGAGUGUUGCCAUAAAAAUAGAGGAUUUCAAUGAACAUUUAAUUGAGAAAGGAACGAUGCAUUUGCACUCUUCAAUUCAGGAAGCAAAUAUUUUCCAACAAGGAGAGAAUUACAAUGAAGAUUUCAAUGGUGAACCAGUCGACUUCGUCAAUGUUGCUGACUCGGACAAUGAUUUUAAGUAUGGAAAAAGGUCAAUAACCCUAGAUGAUUUUGAGUUGCCUAAGAACUUUUCACAUAUAGUUAAGUUUGGCGAUGUUAACCAAGAUGAAACAACCUCUCUACAACAAGGAAGAACAAGGCUUUCUGGAAAGCAUGCUAGAUCUCUAUUUGUCCCGGAUUUCAGCUAUGGUAGAAGCAGUUCUACUGGAUCUCCCCCUAUUUUUCACAUUAAGCAUCAAUUUACUGGGGUUAUUGGUGCUAAUAUUGAUCCUAAUUAGUUGAAAGAAUUGUGUGACUGUGUAUAUUUUGGG
This is a non-coding RNA of Nicotiana tabacum (common tobacco), 1036 nucleotides long. The record is from RefSeq and is a predicted model, not a curated record. Lineage: Eukaryota; Viridiplantae; Streptophyta; Magnoliopsida; Solanales; Solanaceae.